UAUUUUAUAAAUAUUUGGUUCUAAUAUAUAGAACUUGUAAUUUUGGUGGUGAAGUUUAAUUGUAUUAAACACUAAACAUGGUGUUUUGAGAUGUAUUCUACUCAACAUGUUAUUAUAUGAUUUCAAGAAUACAUAACAUUGAUGCUAUUCUUGUGAAUUAUGUGUGUCUAAUACUCAGUUACCAACUGUUUCUUGGUUGUUGUUUUUAGAGAAUAUAAUAGUUUUAAAUAAGGAAACAAUACAUGUUUAAUA
Limulus polyphemus (Atlantic horseshoe crab) is the source of this 252-nucleotide long non-coding RNA. RefSeq lists it as uncharacterized. Lineage: Eukaryota; Metazoa; Arthropoda; Merostomata; Xiphosura; Limulidae. The transcript has 3 exons. The record is from RefSeq and is a predicted model, not a curated record.